This 1509-nucleotide long non-coding RNA is filed under the name Salmo salar (Atlantic salmon). RNAcentral's name for it is "lncRNA (ENSSSAG00000108524.1)". The record is from RNAcentral. Lineage: Eukaryota; Metazoa; Chordata; Actinopteri; Salmoniformes; Salmonidae.
AUCCGGCCGUGUCAAUACUGCCCCCUAGCCCUAACAGGUUAACUAAUUAUGUGACUUCUGAAGGUAAUUGGUUGCACCAUAUCUUAUUUAGGGGCUUCAUAGCAAAGGGGGUAAAAAUAUAUGCACGCAUCACUUUUCCAUUAUUUAUUUCUUAGUUACAUUUUUUGAAACAAGUUAUUUUUUCAUUUCACUUCACAUAUUUGGAUUAUUUUGUUUAUGUCCAUUACAUGAAAUCAAAUAAAAAUACAUUUCAAAUGCAGGUUCUAAUGCAACAAAAUUGGAAAAACGCCAAGGGGGUGAAUACUUUUGCAAGGCACUGUAUUAGGGCAGUAUGCAAAUUGGUGUGGGUCCAGGGUUUCUGGGAUAAUGUUGUUGAUGUGAGCCAUGACCAGCCUUUCAAAGCACUUCAUGGCUACAGACAUGAGUGCUACGGGUCGGAAGUCAUUAAGAAGGUUACCUUAGUGUUCUUGGGCACAGGGACUGUUGUUGUCUGCUUAAAACAUGUUGGUAUUACAGACUCAGACAGGGAGAGGUUGAAAAUGUCAGUGAAAACACUUGCCAGUUGGUCAACGCACGUCCUGGUAAUCCGUGAAUGUUGACCUGUUUAAAGGUCUUACUCACAUUGGGUGCGGAGACCGUGAACACACUCUUCCGGAAGAGCUGGGGCUCUCAGCUGUUCCAGUAAAUACAGUAAAUUAGCUUCAACUGGUGGGGGUAUUUCUACACACCCCGUUUAACCAUACUCUAGGUUUAUCUGUAUUUCUACACACCCCAUUUAGCCAUACCCUAAGUUUAGCUGUAUUUCUACACACCCCAUUUAGCCAUACCCUAGGUUUAUCUGUAUUUCUACACAGCCCAUUUAGCCAUACCCUAGGUUUAUCUGUAUUUCUACACACCCCAUUUAGCCAUACCCUAGGUUUAGCUGUAUUUAUACACACCCCAUUUAGCCAUACCCUAGGUUUAUCUGUAUUUAUACACACCCCAUUUAGCCAUAUCCUAGGUUAAUCUGUAUUUCUACACACCCCAUUUAGCCAUACCCUAGGUUUAUCUGUAUUUCUACACACCCCAUUUAUCCAUACCCUAGGUUUAGCUGUAUUUAUACACACCCCAUUUAGCCAUACCCUAGGUUUAGCUGUAUUUAUACACACCCCAUUUAGCCAUACCCUAGCUUUAGCUGUAUUUAUACACACCCCAUUUAGCCAUUCCCUAGCUUUAGCUGUAUUUAUACAUACCCCAUUUAGCCAUACCCUAGGAUUAGCUGUAUUUCUACACACCCCAUUCAGCCAUACCCAGGAUUAGCUGUAUUUCCACACCCCCAAAACCUCUUCCUGUGGCUAUGGGACAGAGGAGGAGAGAGAGGGAGAUGUCAACAGAGAUAGGUCUGACAGACUAACAUGCAGUCAACUGAAUAUAUUUUCAUUAUUGACUUCUCACCAGUGAUGUCAUCAUAACCAGUAACCUUUUCCACUCUUCCACUCUUGGUCCGGCUCAGCUUGACACUGACCGAUG